Molecule: ribosomal RNA, 484 nt
Filed under: uncultured bacterium
Lineage: Bacteria
Description: partial 16S ribosomal RNA
Rfam family: Bacterial small subunit ribosomal RNA
Source: RNAcentral
AGUGAACGCUGGCGGCAGGCCUAACACAUGCAAGUCGAACGGAAGCAGAGAGAUAGCUUCUUGGUUCGGCUGCGGACUGGUGGGUGGGGCCGGGGAAUCUCCGAGUUGACGUGUUAGCGCGUGAUGAAGCAGGCGCUCAUACCCUAUAAGCCCAUACGACGUAAGUGUGAUAGCUUGGGACCUCUCGCUAUCACAUGAGCCGAUGUCGGAUUAGCUAGUUGGUGGGGUAAAGGCCCACCAAGGCGACGAUCCGUAGCUGGUCUGAGAGGAUGAUCAGCCACACUGGAACUGAGACACGGUCCAGACUCCUACGGGAGGCAGCAGUGGGGAAUAUUGGACAAUGGGCGAAAGCCUGAUGCAGCCAUGCCGCGUGUGUGAAGAAGGCCUUCGGGUUGUAAAGCCCUUUUGGUGGGGAAGAAAGGCAGUAGGUUAAUACCUCGCUGUUCUGACGGUACCAAAAGAAUAAGCACCGGCUAACUUCGUG